UGUUUGUAUGCAAGGUGAAAAAAGUGAGUUUGGUGAAAUGAUGCAUUGGUAAGUUUCUCCUUAAAAUUUACCCAAAUCUUUCCAACUAUUUCCAUUUCCUCAAUCUCUAUCAAAGGCAAAGUCUUUCCUAAUAUUUUAGACUCUUUUAUUUAAUGCAAUUAUUGGGGUUGGCAAAUGAGACUUUGUUCCAAUUUUAUUGUUGGUUAAAUGAUUGGUGAGGACCAUUUUUCACCUUUAACUAAGCUAUAUGUUUCGUUUUACAUUUCAUAUAUUGGGGUUCAUGAAUCAUGCACAAUAUUGAGUAUUUAGUUCGUAAGGGGGUUCUCAUUUUUGUGUGGUGGUUGUGUCUGAUUUUAUUGGCAGGUUUCUUGCAAGAAGCUAUGAGAAUGCUGACUCUCCUUUCCAGAUUCAGAUAUUUCUAUCUUGGACAUUUUUUCAUCUGGCAUCCGGGAGAUAUGGUUAUUAAAUCUCGAAGAUUCUGUACUUGAGAGCUUGAUCUUGAAAUUGAAAGGGGAAAUUGACUAUUGAUUUUUCAUUUUGUGUUAUGGAGUUUAUAAAAGUAGGGAAGAAUAUGAUUUUUUCAUUUUGUGCUAUGGAGUUUCUGUAAGAUGAACAAGGUCCAAGGAAGUAUGUUUUGCCUUUAGCUAAACUAAUUCAAUGAUUGUGUUAUUGUUGUUUUCUUUCACGGUUCAUCAUUUAGAGGAC
This 705-nucleotide long non-coding RNA is filed under the name Lotus japonicus. RNAcentral's name for it is "long non-coding RNA (LJAP_LNC001211)". Lineage: Eukaryota; Viridiplantae; Streptophyta; Magnoliopsida; Fabales; Fabaceae. The record is from RNAcentral.